Molecule: ribosomal RNA, 505 nt
Filed under: uncultured bacterium
Lineage: Bacteria
Description: partial 16S ribosomal RNA
Rfam family: Bacterial small subunit ribosomal RNA
Source: RNAcentral
GACGAACGCUGGCGGCGUGCCUAAUACAUGCAAGUAGAACGCACAGUUUAUACCGUAGCUUGCUACACCAUAAACUGUGAGUUGCGAACGGGUGAGUAACGCGUAGGUAACCUGCCUGGUAGCGGGGGAUAACUAUUGGAAACGAUAGCUAAUACCGCAUAAUAUUGAUUAUUGCAUGAUAAUUGAUUGAAAGAUGCUAUUGCAUCACUACCAGAUGGACCUGCGUUGUAUUAGCUAGUAGGUGAGGUAACGGCUCACCUAGGCGACGAUACAUAGCCGACCUGAGAGGGUGAUCGGCCACACUGGGACUGAGACACGGCCCAGACUCCUACGGGAGGCAGCAGUAGGGAAUCUUCGGCAAUGGACGAAAGUCUGACCGAGCAACGCCGCGUGAGUGAGGAAGGUUUUCGGAUCGUAAAGCUCUGUUGUAAGAGAAGAACGGGUGUGAGAGUGGAAAGUUCACACUGUGACGGUAUCUUACCAGAAAGGGACGGCUAACUACGUG